UAUUUUUGGGUCAAAAUUGGGUUAAAAAAAAGUCAAAAUCGAUUAAUUUUGGUCAAAAUGCUGGGUAACUCAAACCAGAUCAAAUAUUACUGGUAUACUGAUCGGUUCAAUUGGAGGCGUAGUUUUAAGAACAAAUCCGAAUGUAUAUGUAGUUUUAUUGAGAAUAAAAAAAUUUUGGGUGGUUUUUCUAGUGGUAAAAAUUGUGGGGUAGAAUAUUGAGAUUAUAACUAGUAUAGGGCUGAAAAUUCAUCCAACCUUAUUUAAAAAUCAAAAUAAAUAGAAACCAACUAAAAACACUUAACCUAAUCCUAAUAUAACAUAGCCUUUCCAUUACUUUGCUAACUCAACCACAAAACAUAACUCCCUUAUCCUUUUUUCAUGCUGCUUCUUCUUCUUUUUCUGGAUUUGUUUUAUUUUUUAUUUUUUAUCCUACAUUUCCUUUUUUCCAUCAUCAUCAUCAACAAAACUUUAGAUCUCUUCGCGUUUCUCAUCGACCUUUGUUCUUGUCUUCUUCUCCAUCACCAUAGCUUCACAUAUGUGAGAUCCAACGACAACCUUGAUCUAGAUUUAAGGUUUUGUUGUAGAAUCGGCAAUAGUAAUAGAGAUAAAGAAAGGUCAUCAAAUUACAGUGACAGGCGAUAAUCAGUAACGCUGAUAGAAAAAUAACAGUGCUAUGGUUUAGGAAUUAUAAGUUGUUUCAGUACUUAGGCCAAGUCAAACGUCACGGGAAAACGUUAAAAUAACGUGGGCAUGUUUACUUUUUCACUCCAAUCAGACAGUAUAAUUUGCACUAUAAUAGUGUGGUUCUCUUUUUUUGUACAGUGUAACACUAUAUUUGGUGUACUACUGUAGCCACGACAAAUAUUAAAAUAAUA
This 875-nucleotide small RNA is filed under the name Arabidopsis thaliana (thale cress). RNAcentral's name for it is "ATSL097340". The record is from RNAcentral. Lineage: Eukaryota; Viridiplantae; Streptophyta; Magnoliopsida; Brassicales; Brassicaceae.